Molecule: long non-coding RNA, 1206 nt
Organism: Silurus meridionalis
Lineage: Eukaryota; Metazoa; Chordata; Actinopteri; Siluriformes; Siluridae
Exons: 3
Source: RefSeq, a predicted model, not a curated record
ACCCUUAUGAUGUGUUCCUCUUAGACCCUUUUCUUAUAACAGCAAAAUGAGUACUAUACUCUAGGUACUAUAAAUACUAACCAGUUCUAGUUUUGUUUGUUUUAUUAAAUUUAUUGACCACAUAUUGUGAGUGGGUUUUGUAAGAGCAAGGUUGAGCGUGUAAGUGCAGAGUUGAGCGUGUAAGGGCAGGGUUGAGCGUGUAAGGGCAGGGUUGAGUGUAAGGGCAGGUUGAGUGUAUAAGAAAGGGGUUGAGUGUGUAAGAGCAGGUUUAGGAGUAGGGUUGAGUGUGUAAGAGCAGGGUUGAGUGUGUAAGGGCAGGGUUAAGUGUGUAAGAGCAGGUUUAGGAGUAGGGUUGAGUGUGUAAGAGCAGGGUUAAGUGUGUAUAAGAGCAGGUUUAGAGGCAGGGUUGAGCGUGUAAGGGCAGGGUUGAGCGUGUAAGGGCAGGGUUGAGUGUGAAAGAGCAGGGUUGAGUGUGUAAGGGCAGGGUUAAGUGUAUAAGAAAGGGGUUGAGUGUGUAAGAGCAGGUUUAGGAGUAGGGUUGAGUGUAAGAGCAGGGUUGAGUGUGAAAGGGCAGGUUUAGGAGUAGGGUUGAGUGUGUGAGGGCCGGGUUGAGUGUGUAAGAGCAGGUUUAGGAGUUGGGUUGAGUGUGUAAGAGCAGGGUUGAGUGUGUAAGAGCAGGGUUGAGUGUGAAAGGGCAGGUUUAGGAGUAGGGUUGAGUGUGUGAGGGCAGGGUUGAGUGUGUGAGGGCAGGGUUGAGUGUGUAAGGGCAGGGUUGAGUGUGAAAGGGCAGGUUUAGGAGUAGGGUUGAGUGUGUGAGGGCCGGGUUGAGUGUGUAAGGGCAGGGUUGAGUGUGUAAGAGCAGGGUUGAGUGUGUAGGAGCAGGUUUAGAGGUAGGGUUGAGCGUGUAAGGGCAGGGUUGAGCGUGUAAGGGCAGGGUUGAGCGUGUAAGGGCAGGGUUGAGUGUGAAAGAGCAGGGUUGAGUGUGUAAGGGCAGGGUUAAGUGUAUAAGAAAGGGGUUGAGUGUGUAAGAGCAGGUUUAGGAGUAGGGUUGAGUGUAAGAGCAGGGUUGAGUGUGUAAGAGCAGGUUUAGAGUAGGGUUGAGUGUGUAAGAGCAGAGUUGAGUGUGUAAGAGCAGGUUUAGGAGUUGGGUUGAGUGUGUGAGCAGGGUUGAGUGUGUAAGAGCAGGGUUGAGUGUGAAAGGGCAGG